GACGAACGCUGGCGGCGUGCCUAAUACAUGCAAGUUGAGCGAUGAAGAUUGGUGCUUGCACCAAUUUGAAGAGCAGCGAACGGGUGAGUAACGCGUGGGGAAUCUGCCUUUGAGCGGGGGACAACAUUUGGAAACGAAUGCUAAUACCGCAUAAUAACUUUAAACAUAAGUUUUAAGUUUGAAAGAUGCAAUUGCAUCACUCAAAGAUGAUCCCGCGUUGUAUUAGCUAGUUGGUGAGGUAAAGGCUCACCAAGGCGAGGAUACAUAGCCGACCUGAGAGGGUGAGAGGCCACACUGGGACUGAGACACGGCCCAAACUCCUACGGGAGGCAGCAGUAGGGAAUCUUCGGCAAUGGACGAAAGUCUGACCGAGCAACGCCGCGUGAGUGAAGAAGGCUUUCGGAUCGUAAAACUCUGUUGGUAGAGAAGAACGUUGGUGAGAGUGGAAAGCUCAUCAAGUGACGGUAACUACCCAGAAAGGGACGGCUAACUACGUG
Molecule: ribosomal RNA, 497 nt
Filed under: uncultured bacterium
Lineage: Bacteria
Description: partial 16S ribosomal RNA
Rfam family: Bacterial small subunit ribosomal RNA
Source: RNAcentral